Molecule: ribosomal RNA, 443 nt
Filed under: uncultured bacterium
Lineage: Bacteria
Description: partial 16S ribosomal RNA
Rfam family: Bacterial small subunit ribosomal RNA
Source: RNAcentral
CCUACGGGUGGCAGCAGUGGGGAAUAUUGGGCAAUGGGCGCAAGCCUGACCCAGCAACGCCGCGUGAAGGAAGAAGGCUUUCGGGUUGUAAACUUCUUUUCUGAGGGACGAAGAUAGUGACGGUACCUCAGGAAUAAGCCACGGCGAACUACGUGCCAGCAGCCGCGGCAAUACGUAGGUGGCAAGCGUUAUCCGGAUUUAUUGGGUGUAAAGGUCGUGUAGGCGGGAAAGCAAGUCAGUUGUGAAGACUCAGGGCUCAACCCUGAGCCUGCAUUGGAAACUGGUUUUCUUGAGUGCUGGAGAGGCAAUCGGAAUGCGGGGUGUAGCGGUGAAAUGCGUAGAUAUACGGAGGAACACCAGUGGCGAAGGCGGAUUGCUGGACAGUAACUGACGCUGAGGCGCGAAAGCGUGGGGAGCAAACAGGAUUAGAUACCCUUGUAGUC